GAUGAAGAACGUAGCGAAAUGCGAUAAGUAAUGUGAAUUGCAGAAUUCAGUGAAUCAUUGAAUCUUUGAACGCACAUUGCGCCCCCUGGUAUUCCGGGGGGCAUGCCUGUUCGAGCGUCAUUUCACCACUCAAGCCUCGCUUGGUAUUGGGCAACGCGGUCCGCCGCGUGCCUCAAAUCGACCGGCUGGGUCUUCUGUCCCCUAAGCGUUGUGGAAACUAUUCGCUAAAGGGUGUUCGGGAGGCUACGCCGUAAAACAACCCCAUUUCUAAGGUUGACCUCGGAUCAGGUAGGGAUACCCGCUGAACUUAAGCAUAUCAAUAAGCGGAGGA
This 331-nucleotide unclassified non-coding RNA is filed under the name soil metagenome. Its description in RNAcentral is "partial contains 5.8S ribosomal RNA, internal transcribed spacer 2, and large subunit ribosomal RNA". The stretch from base 1 to 120 matches the Rfam family "5.8S ribosomal RNA", at positions 35 to 154 of the family's 154-position model. The record is from RNAcentral.